This 1152-nucleotide ribosomal RNA is filed under the name Morganella morganii. RNAcentral describes it as "bacterial SSU rRNA". It matches the Rfam family "Bacterial small subunit ribosomal RNA", at positions 43 to 1185 of the family's 1533-position model. The record is from RNAcentral. Lineage: Bacteria; Pseudomonadati; Pseudomonadota; Gammaproteobacteria; Enterobacterales; Morganellaceae.
UUAACCAUACACAUGCAAGUCGGGCGGUAACAGGGAGAAGCUUGCUUCUCUGCUGACGAGCGGCGGACGGGUGAGUAAGGUAUGGGGAUCUGCCUGAAGGAGGGGGAUAACUACUGGAAACGGUAGCUAAUACCGCAUAAUGUCUACGGACCAAAGCGGGUGACCUCCGGUCCUCGCGCCAUCAGAUGAACCCAUAUGGGAUUAGCUAGUAGGUGAGGUAACGGCUCACCUAGGCGACGAUCCCUAGCUGGUCUGAGAGGAUGAUCAGCCACACUGGGACUGAGACACGGCCCAGACUCUACGCGAGGCAGCAGUGGGGAAUAUUGCACAAUGGGCGCAAGCCUGAUGCAGCCAUGCCGCGUGUAUGAAGAAGGCCUUCGGGUUGUAAAGUACCUUCAGUCGGGAGGAAGGUGUUAAGGUUAAUAACCUUGGCAAUUGACGUUACCGACAGAAGAAGCACCGGCUAACUCCGUGCCAGCAGCCGCGGUAAUACGGAGGGUGCAAGCGUUAAUCGGGAUUACUGGGCGUAAAGCGCACGCAGGCGGUUGAUUGAGUCAGAUGUGAAAUCCCCGGGCUUAACCCGGGAAUUGCAUCUGAUACUGGUCAGCUAGAGUCUUGUAGAGGGGGGUAGAAUUCCAUGUGUAGCGGUGAAAAGAGUAGAGAUGUGGAGGAAUACCGGUGGCGAACGCGGCCCCCUGGACAAAGACUGACGCUCAGGUGCGAAAGCGUGGGGAGCAAACAGGAUUAGAUACCCUGGUAGUCCACGCUGUAAACGAUGUCGACUUGGAGGUUGUGCCCUUGAGGCGUGGCUUCCGGAGCUAACGCGUUAAGUCGACCGCCUGGGGAGUACGGCCGCAAGGUUAAAACUCAAAUGAAUUGACGGGGGCCCGCACAAGCGGUGGAGCAUGUGGUUUAAUUCGAUGCAACGCGAAGAACCUUACCUACUCUUGACAUCCAGAGAACUUAGCAGAGAUGCUUUGGUGCCUUCGGGAACUCUGAGACAGGUGCUGCAUGGCUGUCGUCAGCUCGUGUUGUGAAAUGUUGGGUUAAGUCCCGCAACGAGCGCAACCCUUAUCCUUUGUUGCCAGCGCGUUAUGGCGGGAACUCAAAGGAGACUGCCGGUGAUAAACCGGAGGAAGGUGGGGAUGACGU